ACAUCUGGUGAUGAUGUUCUUUAGGGUAACACCCGUUCCCAUUCCGAACACGACGGUUAAGCCUUUAGAAGCCGAUGGUACUGCACG
RNAcentral lists this ribosomal RNA (87 nucleotides) under Clostridium perfringens. The record is from RNAcentral. Lineage: Bacteria; Bacillati; Bacillota; Clostridia; Eubacteriales; Clostridiaceae.